CAUGAUGACACGAUAUGGCGGCCGCAGCAGCAGAGUUUGGUACUGCUAAUAAUAAUAGCAACAACAGUAUAAUGUACAUCCAUCAGCUUAUUGUUGCCGUUGCCACCACUCAACAAAAGCUACAACAGAUACAACUACUACGACUACUACUAGCAAUAUACCUCUUUUUUUGUCUUAUCACAGAGCAGCACACAGAAGAGCACAUACACGUCUGUAUACAUCUGUGUACAGAGACGCGGCGUGUCGUGCACACAUGUACUAUUAGUACACAUCUCCUAAACGUUCAUCUUCAACGGCGCACUGCCCAAAAAGAUACGCCGCUUGACAUGCUUAUAAUUAUAAGGUUGGGAGGAAAGUCGUGGGGGUGGGGAGACGGUGGAGGUAUAGUAGCGAGACGGUGGAGGACGUGGUGGAGAGACACAGAUACGCCGAUACGGAGAGGACGGAGAGGGUUUGGUGAUAUUAUUUCUGGGAAUGGACACAGAGCGACACACACAGAGUGACCGACAGCAGGGCAGCAGGAGGGGGACGGACUCUGACACAGAGAGAUUGUUCGUGAUGUAAUUAUUCAUCGUCAUCAUCAUCAUCGUCAUCGUCAUCGUCAUCAUCCUCCUCCAUCUGCAGGAGAUGUUCCACUGAUGCUAUUAUUAUAUCUAUAUGUCUAAUACAGCAGCAGCUUUAGCAAAAGAGCGUCCUUGACGUAAUAAUUAAUAAGGACACGCCUUUGCAGAAAGUAUAAGGACACGCCUGACAAGAUACGUGCUCUGCUGUGAUACGUGCUGAAAAAAAAUAGGAGUUAGUUCCAGAAGUGCUUAUAAAUUAUAUGUAUGUACUUCUUUGUCGUCCAACAACUACUGGUGGGCGCAAUCUAUAAUAAUGAUGAUGAUGCUAAAUGAUGAUGAUGCUAAAUAUCACGCAGAGAAGAACAGAGAAUAGAGCACAACAACCACCAAUACAACAACCCCGCGAAUCGCGCUUUGUCGUAUAUUAGUAAUAAAGUGCGCCGCCCCUACUUCUCACCGCUCGCCGACGACAAACAGACAAUUGAAAUGAGACCGUCACAGCGAGAGCUAUCAGGACGUUUUUAAAAUUUUAUUUAUGGAGCAGGCGCCAAGUAGAAAACAAGCCGCGAAGAAGCAGAAGACGACAUGUGUCUAAUGCGCGCGAACCACGGAACAAGACAAACACCAAUCAAUACACCGCAACAAAAGCACAAAGAUACAGCUUUAGCGUCCUCGAAAGGACACGCCGGCAGUAAGGGCGAUUUACAAGAAAGUUGGGAAUAUAGACUACGCUGCCCGAUNNNNNNNNNNNNNNNNNNNNNNNNNNNNNNNNNNNNNNNNNNNNNNNNNNACGCACACACACACACACGCACACGCACACGCACAUGCACAUGCACACGCACACGCACACGCACACGCACACGCACACGCACACGCACACGCACACGCACACGCACACGCACACGCACACGCAGCAUGACAGCUAUACUACGUAUCCGCAGCUGCAGCAGUGUGGGGUAUAGUCCUGUUCAGCUCCCUGCAGCAGAAAAAUAAUGAAGCCCUACCUAAUAAUAAGCAAAACACCCCUCCAUGAUGACACGAUAUGGCGGCCGCAGCAGCAGAGUUUGGUACUGCUAAUAAUAAUAGCAACAACAGUAAUGUACAUCCAUCAGCUUAUUGUUGCCGUUGCCACCACUCAACAAAAGCUACAACAGAUACAACUACUACGACUACUACUAGCAAUAUACCUCUUUUUUUGUCUUAUCACAGAGCAGCACACAGAAGAGCACAUACACGUCUGUAUACAUCUGUGUACAGAGACGCGGCGUGUCGUGCACACAUGUACUAUUAGUACACAUCUCCUAAACGUUCAUCUUCAACGGCGCACUGCCCAAAAAGAUACGCCGCUUGACAUGCUUAUAAUUAUAAGGUUGGGAGGAAAGUCGUGGGGGUGGGGAGACGGUGGAGGUAUAGUAGCGAGACGGUGGAGGACGUGGUGGAGAGACACAGAUACGCCGAUACGGAGAGGACGGAGAGGGUUUGGUGAUAUUUCUGGGAAUGGACACAGAGCGACACAGAGUGACCGACAGCAGGGCAGCAGGAGGGGGACGGACUCUGACACAGAGAGAUUGUUCGUGAUGUAAUUAUUCAUCGUCAUCAUCAUCAUCGUCAUCGUCAUCGUCAUCAUCCUCCUCCAUCUGCAGGAGAUGUUCCACUGAUGCUAUUAUUAUAUCUAUAUGUCUAAUACAGCAGCAGCUUUAGCAAAAGAGCGUCCUUGACGUAAUUAAUAAGGACACGCCUUUGCAGAAAGUAUAAGGACACGCCUGACAAGAUAUACGUGCUCUGCUGUGAUACGUGCUGAAAAAUAGGAGUUAGUUCCAGAAGUGCUAAAUUAUAUGUAUGUACUUCUUUGUCGUCCAACAACUACUGGUGGGCGCAAUCUAUAAUAAUGAUGAUGAUGCUAAAUGAUGAUGAUGCUAAAUAUCACGCAGAGAAGAACAGAGAAUAGAGCACAACAACCACCAAUACAACAACCCCGCGAAUCGCGCUUUGUCGUAUAUUAGUAAUAAAGUGCGCCGCCCCUACUUCUCACCGCUCGCCGACGACAAACAGACAAUUGAAAUGAGACCGUCACAGCGAGAGCUAUCAGGACGUUUUUAAAAUUUUAUUUAUGGAGCAGGCGCCAAGUAGAAAACAAGCCGCGAAGAAGCAGAAGACGACAUGUGUCUAAUGCGCGCGAGCCACGGAACAAGACAAAUACCAAUCAAUAGACCGCAACAAAAGCACAAAGAAACAGCUUUAGCGUCCUUGAAAGGACACGUCUGCAGUAAGGGCGAUUCACAAGAAGGUUGUAGAAUAUAGCCUAACGCUGCCUGGUCCGAGGCAUCGGCUACUCCGCCCGGAGUGGUGAGUGAGUCUGUGCUAAGACAAAGAGUAAAAUUGCAGUACGAAUGCGCAAUUGGUGAUCGCGGGUUCAAGCCACGGCUGAUGCAACUGCGGUUGCGAUUUGGUGGGUUCUUCGCUGACGUGGUAUAUUAUUAACCGACUUGUCCAGCACAGCAGCAUGAGACGAUUUAUUAAGCUUUCUUCAACUUUUGUUUUAUAAAUAAUAACAAUCAUUGUUGAAUUGUUGAAACAAGAAAAUGUGUUUUUUCUUAAUGUAUACAACCUAACGUUCUUUUCUGCAUGCUGCAGGACAGGAAGAAGCAGGAACAGCAAAACGUACGUGAGGAGGCGGCACGUGCUAUUAUUAUUAUAGAGUGCUGGCGGGAGGGGGAAGAGGAGGAAGAGGAGGAGGAGGAGGAGGAGGAGGAGGAGGAGGAGGAGGAGGAGGAGGAGGAGGAGGAGGAGGAGGAGGAGGAGGAGGAGGAGGAGGAGCAUCAGGCUGAGACGUGGAGAGCAGCAGCACUGCUGUGGAGGAGGAGCAGGAGCAGGAGCAGGAGAUAAUGCUGGAUAAAGAUCGAGGCGGAGGAGCAGGAGCAGGAGUAGGAGCAGGAGCAGAAAGAAGACUAGCAGCAGCAAGCCCCUCCAAANNNNNNNNNNNNNNNNNNNNNNNNNNNNNNNNNNNNNNNNNNNNNNNNNNGUUCAGCUCCCUGCAGCAGAAAAAUAAUGAAGCCCUACCUAAUAAUAAGCAAAACACCCCUCCAUGAUGACACGAUAUGGCGGCCGCAGCAGCAGAGUUUGGUACUGCUAAUAAUAAUAGCAACAACAGUAAAUGUACAUCCAUCAGCUUAUUGUUGCCGUUGCCACCACUCAACAAAAGCUACAACAGAUACAACUACUACGACUACUACUAGCAAUAUACCUCUUUUUUUGUCUUAUCACAGAGCAGCACACAGAAGAGCACAUACACGUCUGUAUACAUCUGUGUACAGAGACGCGGCGUGUCGUGCACACAUGUACU
RNAcentral lists this long non-coding RNA (3906 nucleotides) under Volvox carteri. RNAcentral's name for it is "long non-coding RNA (VCAR_LNC004190)". Lineage: Eukaryota; Viridiplantae; Chlorophyta; Chlorophyceae; Chlamydomonadales; Volvocaceae. The record is from RNAcentral.